This 89-nucleotide transfer RNA is filed under the name Chlamydia trachomatis. RNAcentral's name for it is "tRNA-Ser(gga)". It matches the Rfam family "tRNA". From Rfam's summary of the family: Transfer RNA (tRNA) molecules are approximately 80 nucleotides in length. Their secondary structure includes four short double-helical elements and three loops (D, anti-codon, and T loops). Further hydrogen bonds mediate the characteristic L-shaped molecular structure. tRNAs have two regions of fundamental functional importance: the anti-codon, which is responsible for specific mRNA codon recognition, and the 3' end, to which the tRNAs corresponding amino acid is attached (by aminoacyl-tRNA synthetases). tRNAs cope with the degeneracy of the genetic code in two manners: having more than one tRNA (with a specific anti-codon) for a particular amino acid; and 'wobble' base-pairing, i.e. permitting non-standard base-pairing at the 3rd anti-codon position. RNAcentral also lists the same sequence under 2 other names. The record is from RNAcentral. Lineage: Bacteria; Pseudomonadati; Chlamydiota; Chlamydiia; Chlamydiales; Chlamydiaceae.
GGAGCCGUAUCGAAGUGGUCAUAACGGGCUCGAUUGGAAUUCGAGUAGGCUUAACGGCCCCGUGGGUUCGAAUCCCACCGGCUCCGCCA